RNAcentral lists this ribosomal RNA (400 nucleotides) under uncultured bacterium. Its description in RNAcentral is "bacterial SSU rRNA". It matches the Rfam family "Bacterial small subunit ribosomal RNA", at positions 357 to 774 of the family's 1533-position model. The record is from RNAcentral.
GGGAAUCUUGCACAAUGGAGGAAACUCUGAUGCAGCGACGCCGCGUGAGCGAAGAAGCCUUUCGGGGUGUAAAGCUCUUACGCCAGGGACGAUAAUGACGGUACCUGGAGAAGCAGCUGCGGCUAACUACGUGCCAGCAGCCGCGGUAAUACGUAGGGAGCAAGCGUUGUUCGGAUUUACUGGGCGUAAAGGGCGCGUAGGCGGCGCGGUAAGUCACUUGUGAAAUCUCUGAGCUUAACUCAGAACGGCCAAGUGAUACUGCUGUGCUAGAGUGCGGAAGAGGCAACCGGAAUUCUUGGUGUAGCGGUGAAAUGCGUAGAUAUCAAGAGGAACACCGGAGGCGAAGGCGGGUUGCUGGGCCGACACUGACGCUGAUGCGCGAAAGCCAGGGGAGCAAACG